RNAcentral lists this ribosomal RNA (380 nucleotides) under uncultured eukaryote. Its description in RNAcentral is "partial 18S ribosomal RNA". It matches the Rfam family "Eukaryotic small subunit ribosomal RNA", at positions 592 to 976 of the family's 1831-position model. The record is from RNAcentral.
CAAUAGCGUAUAUUAAAGUUGUUGCAGUUAAAAAGCUCGUAGUUGGAUUUGUGGUGUACUUCGGCGGCCCGUCACUAUGUGAUGGAGCUUGCUGAAGUCGCCAUCCUUGGGUGGAUCCUGUGUGGCAUUAAGUUGUCGUGCAGGGGAUGCCCAUCGUUUACUGUGAAAAAAUUAGAGUGUUCAAAGCAGGCUUAUGCCGUUGAAUAUGUUAGCAUGGAAUAAUAAGAUAGGACCUUGGUACUAUUUUGUUGGUUUGCGCACCAAGGUAAUGAUUAAUAGGGACAGUUGGGGGUAUUCGUAUUUCAUUGUCAGAGGUGAAAUUCUUGGAUUUUUGAAAGACGAACUACUGCGAAAGCAUUUACCAAGGAUGUUUUCAUUAA